RNAcentral lists this ribosomal RNA (254 nucleotides) under uncultured bacterium. RNAcentral describes it as "partial 16S ribosomal RNA". It matches the Rfam family "Bacterial small subunit ribosomal RNA", at positions 524 to 776 of the family's 1533-position model. The record is from RNAcentral.
UACGUAGGGGGCGAGCGUUGUCCGGAUUUAUUGGGCGUAAAGAGCUCGUAGGCGGUUACGGAAGUCGGGUGUGAAAGACCGGGGCUUAACCCCGGGGUGUCAUCCGAUACUCCGUUGACUUGAGUCCGGUAGGGGAAGGUGGAAUUCCUGGUGUAGCGGUGAAAUGCACAGAUAUCAGGAGGAACACCGGUGGCGAAGGCGGCCUUCUGGGCCGGUACUGACGCUGAGGAGCGAAAGCUAGGGGAGCGAACAGG